Molecule: ribosomal RNA, 444 nt
Filed under: uncultured bacterium
Lineage: Bacteria
Description: bacterial SSU rRNA
Rfam family: Bacterial small subunit ribosomal RNA
Source: RNAcentral
CCCUUAGAGUUUGAUCCUGGCUCAGGAUGAACGCUGGCGGCGUGCUUAACACAUGCAAGUCGAACGGGGCGCUCAUGACGGAGGAUUCGUCCAACGGAUUGAGUUACCUAGUGGCGGACGGGUGAGUAACGCGUGAGGAACCUGCCUUGGAGAGGGGAAUAACACUCCGAAAGGAGUGCUAAUACCGCAUAAUGCAGUUGGGUCGCAUGGCUCUGACUGCCAAAGAUUUAUCGCUCUGAGAUGGCCUCGCGUCUGAUUAGCUAGUAGGCGGGGUAACGGCCCACCUAGGCGACGAUCAGUAGCCGGACUGAGAGGUUGACCGGCCACAUUGGGACUGAGACACGGCCCAGACUCCUACGGGAGGCAGCAGUGGGGAAUAUUGGGCAAUGGGCGCAAGCCUGACCCAGCAACGCCGCGUGAAGGAAGAAGGCUUUCGGGUUGUAA